RNAcentral lists this ribosomal RNA (242 nucleotides) under uncultured bacterium. Its description in RNAcentral is "partial 16S ribosomal RNA". It matches the Rfam family "Bacterial small subunit ribosomal RNA", at positions 118 to 347 of the family's 1533-position model. The record is from RNAcentral.
UGAGGAACAUGACCUUCGGCGGGGGAUAGCCGGCCCAACGGCCGGGUAAUACCGCGUACGACCACAUGGGGACAUCCCUGAGUGGUGAAAGCAGCAAUGCGCCGAUGGAGUGCCUCGCGGCCUAUCAGCUAGUUUGGUGAGGUAACGGCUCACCAAGGCGACGGACGGGUAGCUGGUCUGGAGAGGAUGGCCAGGCCCACAGUUGGGGACUGAAGACACGGCCCAGACCUNUACCGGGGAGG